Molecule: long non-coding RNA, 1429 nt
Filed under: Sus scrofa (pig)
Lineage: Eukaryota; Metazoa; Chordata; Mammalia; Artiodactyla; Suidae
Description: lncRNA (ENSSSCG00070026010.1)
Source: RNAcentral
AUGCCCAAUUGGAGGAAACUGAGGCCCAGAGGUGAAAGGUGUUUUGCACCACGAGAAGGAUGCCAUGAAAUGCUCUGCUCUCUUCUCUUUUCCUUGCUGUCCCCGGGGCUGGAGGAGCACAGGCCUCCCAGGCAGGGGCCCUGGCCUUGCUGGAUUCCCAUCUCCUUUCAAGGGUUGAGCCCCCAAGGGCCAGAAGUGAGAGGUGAGUCGGAGCAGGCAGGGCGGGAUGAGGAGGGACCCGACCUCCCAAAGGCUAGCCUGGGUAGGACCCCAGGGGCUGGCGGAGUCUCAGUUGGGAAGGGCUGGGGCCGGGCACAGGGUGUGGCAGGUGUGGACUUGACAGCAGACAGCUCCCUGGGGUUGUGGGGGUGGCGGGCUCCGGGCCAACGGCCUCAGCCAAGCUUGGGGAUGGAGUCCUGUAAAGCCUGAAGGGCCCGUGCAGAGUCCUCGAAUGCUAACCAGCAGGUCAGAGAACUGGCUUCUCUGUGACCCCUGACCCCGUAUUCCAAUUUAAUGAUGGCCAAAGCAGGCCUGACUCAGGCAUCCCGCCUGAGGGGAUGGGACUGAGAGCCCAGAGGAAGGCGUGAGGCCGGAGGCUCAGGAGACCCCGGUUCCUCCAGGCCAUAGCCGGACAUCACCUGGUGGCCUGGCCCAGGCAGGUGAGGGCUAGAGUCUGUCCGUCCAGCCCCUCGGCGGGCCUGGUGGCCGGAGCGUUCCUGGCCGCCGCUGUGCGGUGCCUGUGGUAACGGGGCUGUUGGCGUUUUGCAAUGGGCCGGGGGUGGGGAGGCUGCGCACACAUGCUUCCUGUGGUGACUGGGCGCUUCCUGUUUUCUCAGGCGCCGGACUUGCUACUGCCGAUGUGGAAACAGGGGCAGCUGCAGCCCGGGUGGCUCCGGGCUGGGUGCCCCGACCCUGCCCAGAGGGGCCUAAGUGGGCCCGCCACCCCAGGCCCCGACUCGGGCAGUAAAUGGCCUGGGUUACCCGCCACACCAAGCCCCGUCCUUCCCCAUCCCCGACCGCUUCCGCCCAGAGGAAGGGGCCAGGCAGGGCUGUCCCUCAAGGCUGAGCAGGUGGUCCAGGAGGUCAGAGGUCCAGGUGGGAGCACUGGCCUCAGCUCUGUCGUUUGCUCACGGAGUAACUUUGGCCAUCCCUGCCCCACGGCAGACAUGGUCUCCCCUCGUAUGCGGUGAUCUGAAAUCUCUCACCCCUUUCUGCUCCAGUUCUGACGUCGCUUAGUUUUCCCGUCCCAAGAGCCUUAGCUUCGGGGGCAGGGGGUGAGCACUGAGACUGGGAUCUGGUGGGGGGGGUUUUCUCGGCCUUGACAGAGAAGGGACUUGGAGAGAAGUGGGCGGGGGGAGGUGGUUGGUCAGGUGGGGCAAGCAGACUUAGAACAAGGCGUGGAGGCGGGAAGGCCAGGAUCAGGUUUGGA